Molecule: non-coding RNA, 162 nt
Organism: Pseudonaja textilis
Lineage: Eukaryota; Metazoa; Chordata; Lepidosauria; Squamata; Elapidae
Source: RefSeq, a predicted model, not a curated record
UUUCAGACUCAUUAUGGGCUGUGAAGGAGCAAAAUUCACAGCUGUUGAAAUAAAGAAAAAAAGGGUUUUGGGACUAACGUGUGUGUUUAUUAGGGUCUUCACAAGCCUUGGUCAGAACACCAACUUUGGUCACUCGAAGACCUGUGGACUUCAAUUCCCAGA